Molecule: ribosomal RNA, 406 nt
Filed under: uncultured bacterium
Lineage: Bacteria
Description: partial 16S ribosomal RNA
Rfam family: Bacterial small subunit ribosomal RNA
Source: RNAcentral
AUUGAACGCUGGCGGCAGGCCUAACACAUGCAAGUCGAGCGAGCGGCGGACGGGUGAACAAUGUAUGGGGAUCUGCCCAAUAGAGGGGGCUAACUACUGGAAACGGUGGCUACUCCCGCCUACUAUCGGAUGGACCCAUAUGGGAUUAGCUAGUCGGUGGGGUAAAGGCUCACCUAGGCGACGAUCCCUAGCUGGGCUGAGAGGAUGAUCAGCCACACUGGGACUGAGACACGGCCCAGACUCCUACGGGAGGCAGCAGUGGGGAAUAUUGCACAAUGGGCGCAAGCCUGAUGGAGCCAUGCCGCGUGUAUGAAGAAGGCCGUAGGGUUGUAAAGUACUUUCAGCGGGGAGGCGUUACCCGCAGAAGAAGCACCGGCUAACUCCGUGCCAGCAGCCGCGGUAAUUC